Molecule: ribosomal RNA, 55 nt
Filed under: Faecalibacterium sp. An58
Lineage: Bacteria; Bacillati; Bacillota; Clostridia; Eubacteriales; Oscillospiraceae
Description: partial 23S ribosomal RNA
Source: RNAcentral
GUAAGUGGAGCGAUCCAUUCAGCAGGUGUGUACUAAUAGACCGAGGGCUUGACCA